CCAGCUCUUUUCUCCAUCCUCUGCUGUGGAUAGUCGGACAUCUGCUGAUACUCUUCCCUUUUUGUAGUGCUUAAUUGUCACUUCAAGUUGCGAUAUUUGUCUUGGCAUUACCUAAUGGGAAGAGGUACCUCCCAAAGGCGAUGUUUCUUGUUAAUCUGAACAUUAGAGAAGCAAGGAAAUAUUUUCCUUGUGUUGUUCUCAGGUAAAGUUUGUUUUUUAUUUCCAGCUGCUUUGGGACUGUAUGCUGCAAAAAGCAAGCCAAACUUUCAAACUGUUUCCUUCUGUGACUCAUAGUGAAGGAGGUAUGCUGCAAACCCUAUGCAGCAGGGUGUGACUCUAUGGCAAACAUGUUUGUACAGAUCCUCACUGAGUGCUUUUAAAACACACUGCUUGUUUCUGUCAAAGUAACGAAUGUGCUCUAGACUGCAAACUGGUGUCACUGAUGCCACAGUUGCCUUCAAAAUGUCUUGAAGAUUACCUAUAAUGCAGUGUUCAGAAGGAGGAGAGAUUCAGCACAGGGAUUUCUGGUGGAAGAGGCUCUGCCAGUUGGAAGCUGCAAAACAGUGGCCAACAGCUAAAACAUACAAUGAAGCCAUCAAGUUUUCAUCUUCAUUGUGAGAAAGAUGGAGCAAGACCUCCCUAGUCAUCUCUGUAUUAAUGUCACUGCUGUGAUAUCAAACUCAUCAUAAGGAGAUUAAAU
Molecule: long non-coding RNA, 700 nt
Filed under: Coturnix japonica (Japanese quail)
Lineage: Eukaryota; Metazoa; Chordata; Aves; Galliformes; Phasianidae
Description: lncRNA (ENSCJPG00005007809.1)
Source: RNAcentral